RNAcentral lists this ribosomal RNA (562 nucleotides) under uncultured bacterium. RNAcentral describes it as "partial 16S ribosomal RNA". It matches the Rfam family "Bacterial small subunit ribosomal RNA", at positions 355 to 909 of the family's 1533-position model. The record is from RNAcentral.
UGGGGAAUUUUGGACAAUGGGGGGAAACCCUGAUCCAGCCAUCCCGCGUGUGCGAUGAAGGCCUUCGGGUUGUAAAGCACUUUUGGCAGGAAAGAAACGUCGCGGGUUAAUACCCCGCGAAACUGACGGUACCUGCAGAAUAAGCACCGGCUAACUACGUGCCAGCAGCCGCGGUAAUACGUAGGGUGCAAGCGUUAAUCGGAAUUACUGGGCGUAAAGCGUGCGCAGGCGGUUCGGAAAGAAAGAUGUGAAAUCCCAGAGCUUAACUUUGGAACUGCAUUUUUAACUACCGGGCUAGAGUGUGUCAGAGGGAGGUGGAAUUCCGCGUGUAGCAGUGAAAUGCGUAGAUAUGCGGAGGAACACCGAUGGCGAAGGCAGCCUCCUGGGAUAACACUGACGCUCAUGCACGAAAGCGUGGGGAGCAAACAGGAUUAGAUACCCUGGUAGUCCACGCCCUAAACGAUGUCAACUAGCUGUUGGGGCCUUCGGGCCUUGGUAGCGCAGCUAACGCGUGAAGUUGACCGCCUGGGGAGUACGGUCGCAAGAUUAAAACUCAAAUGAA